UUGAAACUAUUAGACGGAUAGCUUGGCUCAAAUAUUGAUGAAGGACGUGGCAAGCUGCGAUAAGCUCGGGUUAGUUGCAUGCGAACAUUGACCCCGAGAUCUCCGAAUUGUGCCGAAAGGCAAAACUACGCCGGGAAUUGAAGCAUCUUAGUACCGGCAGGAAAAGAAAAUAAAUAAUGAUUUCCUUAGUAGCAGAGAGCGAAAAGGAAAUAGGGCAAGCUGAAUCUCCCGUUGAAAAGCGGGCAGAGAUGUGGUGUGAUAUAAUGGCUAAGUUGACGAAUCGAAGUGUUCUGGAAAGAAGCGCCUCAGAGAGUGACAGCCUCGUAGAUUAAGUCAAUAUGUCAGGUCAUAAAAGAGUAGGGCGACUUGGAUUAGCCGUCUGAAUAUGGCAGAAUUAACUGCUAACCCUAAAUAUUGUUUUGAGUCCGAUAGCGAAAGAGUACCGCGAGGGAAAGCUGAAAAGUACUCUCACAAGAGAGUUAAAAGACUUGAAAUCUAAUAGUUAUAAGAUAGUUACGGACCUUCGGGUUUGUAACGUACGUUUUGAAGAACGGUCCAGGGAGUUUACAAUUUGUGGCGAGGUUAAUUAAUGAAGCCGAAGCGAAAGCGAGUAUGAAAAUGCGUUAGUCACAAGGGUAAGACCUGAAGCCAGAUGAUCUACUCCUGAGCAGGCUGAAGUUUUUCGAAAGAGAAAUGGAGGGCCGUACAAGUAUUGCGUGCAUGCAUUUUGAUGACUUGGGAGUAGGGGUGAAAAGCCUCUCGAAUCUGGCGAUGGCUGGUUCCUGCUGAAAUAUGCCUUGGUAUAGUUUGGUUUAGUUUGUUUAUGGGGUAAAGUCACAGAUGAAUUUCGCAGAGGCUACUGCCUACGGAAAUUCUUCUAACUCAGAACCUAUAAACUGCGUAAAACCAAAAGCAGCUGCAGCGUGUAAGAUGCUGUAACGAAACCGGAAAAACGGAGCCUUGAGUUAAGGUCCCAAAAUAUUUACUAAGUGUAACAAAGGGAGUCAUUAUUCGAAGACAGUUGGGAUGUAGACAUAGAAGCCGUCAUCAUUUAAAGAAAGCGUAACAGCUCACCAAUUGAGAAUAGUGGCCCCGAAAAUGGACGGGGCUAAAGUAAAUUACCGAUACUCAAGACACAUCCUGUAGAGGAUGUCGUGGUAAGCAGGCGUACUAAUUGCGCAGAAGACUCUUCGUAAGAAGGGUUGGAGCGAUUAGCAAUGAGAAUCCUGGUUGGAGUAGGAUCAUAUCUUCCUGAGAAUCGGAAGACGUCGAAAGGAUACGGUUUCCUUGGCACUAAAAAUUAGCCAAGGGUUAGUCUGCACCUAAGUCAUAUCUUAACUGAGUAUGACGACGGAUAACAGGUUAAUAUUCCUGUACUUUCAAUUUUUGUUAAGUUUCUAAAUCGCUUUCGGAUAGGCAAAGUAGCGAAAGUUAUCAAGAUCAAGAAUUUUGUGGAUCGUAAUGAAGAGAAGCAAAAGAAUUGUCUUUAAUUUGUCAAAUCCAAGAGUCAGUGAAAAGUUUGGAAAAUAGAAAGUUGAGAGCAGUACCAAGAACUGACACUGGUAUCCUAGCUGAAAAGGCUAAGACGUAAAGGGUUAAUUAAGUUAAGGGAACUCGGCAGAAAUAGUCCCGUAUCUUCGGUAGAAGGGAUGUCUAUAUUUUUCCAUGAUUUAUUAUGGGGGAACGUAGAUCUCAGUAACAAGGAUGGAACGACUGUUUACCAAAAACGUAGCUGAGCGCUAAUUUGAAAGAAUGAAUAUGCUCGGUGAAGUCUGCCCAGUGAUGGUGUCUAAACUCUUGUUUCAACAGGAUGAAAGCCCAUCAAACGGCGGGCCUAACUAUGAGGCUCUUAAGGUUGAAUAGAAAACUAAACUGCCUUACGGUUUUUCCUUCGAUAAAAAGGAAAAAACGCUUCAAGUUUCAUAGAAAAAGGUAAAACAGAAGACUAUAAUAAAAGCCAAAGAAGAAAAUUUAGCUAUAUGCUGGAACAUCUGAGAAUGUCAAACUACAACAAUAAUUGUUAAAAACCAUUUUGUUGUAAAAAUGUUAUGACUGCAGACAAUCAGCAGGAAAGGCUAGACCCCUUAUGGAUUGUUGGAUUUACUGAUGGUGAAGGAUGCUUUCAUGUAUCCCUCAACAAAAAUCCAAAAAUGACUUUAAAGUAUCAAGUUCUUCCUGAAUUUCGAAUUGUUCAAAAUAAAAAAGAUGAAGUCCUAUUAUCAAAAAUAAAAGAAUAUUUUGGUUUUGGAGAUGUAGUGGUCAAUAGAAUUGACCAUCAUGGAACAAGAAUGGAAUUCAGAGCAAGAGGCUUAGAAAAUCUAAAUAAUAUUAAAGAAUUUUUCGAAAAGUUUGAAUUGAAAACUUCAAAGAAGAAAGAUUUUGAAAUCUUUUCAGAAAUAAUAGACCUCAUGAAUAAAAAAGAACAUCUAACAAAUCAAGGAAUUGAUAAAAUUAGAGAAUUAACUUUAAAGAUGAAUAGAAAAGCAAUCAUAAGAAGUUUAGAAUCCUCAGAGAACAUACGCUAAACACAAAUUAAUUUGUGAAGAUAUGUUCCGAUCUUUAUAGCGAUAUAAAGUUAACAUAAAUGAGCGUAAUGCCUUGUCAUCUGAAUGGUGACGUGCAUGAAUGGCUUAACGAUUUUGUCACUGUCCCUAACUUACACCCUCCGAAAGCAUUAACCGGUGAACAGGCCGGUAUCAUCUAGUGGGAAGUGAAGACCUUGUAGACCUUUACUGCAACCUGUUGUUGUGAUUUUAUUAUAGUUGCCCAGAGUAAGUAGGAGCAUCGAAGUUAGGGUUCUGGCCCUAAUGGAGCGAAAGUGUAA
RNAcentral lists this ribosomal RNA (2824 nucleotides) under groundwater metagenome. RNAcentral's name for it is "bacterial LSU rRNA". It matches the Rfam family "Archaeal large subunit ribosomal RNA", at positions 15 to 2274 of the family's 2987-position model. The record is from RNAcentral.